UAGGGAAUCUUCGGCAAUGGGGGCAACCCUGACCGAGCAACGCCGCGUGAGUGAAGAAGGUUUUCGGAUCGUAAAGCUCUGUUGUAAGUCAAGAACGGGUGUGAGAGUGGAAAGUUCACACUGUGACGGUAGCUUACCAGAAAGGGACGGCUAACUACGUGCCAGCAGCCGCGGUAAUACGUAGGUCCCGAGCGUUGUCCGGAUUUAUUGGGCGUAAAGCGAGCGCAGGCGGUUUGAUAAGUCUGAAGUUAAAGGCUGUGGCUCAACCACAGUUCGCUUUGGAAACUGUCAAACUUGAGUGCAGAAGGGGAGAGUGGAAUUCCAUGUGUAGCGGUGAAAUGCGUAGAUAUAUGGAGGAACACCGGUGGCGAAAGCGGCUCUCUGGUCUGUAACUGACGCUGAGGCUCGAAAGCGUGGGGAGCGAACAGGAUUAGAUACCCUGGUAGUCCACGCCGUAAACGAUGAGUGCUAGGUGUUGGAUCCUUUCCGGGAUUCAGUGCCGCAGCUAACGCAUUAAGCACUCCGCCUG
RNAcentral lists this ribosomal RNA (529 nucleotides) under uncultured bacterium. RNAcentral describes it as "partial 16S ribosomal RNA". It matches the Rfam family "Bacterial small subunit ribosomal RNA", at positions 355 to 875 of the family's 1533-position model. The record is from RNAcentral.